UACGUAGGGUGCGAGCGUUGUCCGGAAUUAUUGGGCGUAAAGAGCUCGUAGGCGGUUUGUUGCGUCGGCCGUGAAAACCUGCAGCUUAACUGUGGGCCUGCGGCCGAUACGGGCAGACUUGAGUUCGGUAGGGGAGACUGGAAUUCCUGGUGUAGCGGUGAAAUGCGCAGAUAUCAGGAGGAACACCGGUGGCGAAGGCGGGUCUCUGGGACGGUACUGACGCUGAGACGCGAAAGCGUGGGGAGCGAACAGG
Molecule: ribosomal RNA, 253 nt
Filed under: uncultured bacterium
Lineage: Bacteria
Description: partial 16S ribosomal RNA
Rfam family: Bacterial small subunit ribosomal RNA
Source: RNAcentral